UAGGGAAUCUUCCACAAUGGACGCAAGUCUGAUGGAGCAACGCCGCGUGAGUGAAGAAGGUCUUCGGAUCGUAAAACUCUGUUGUUAGAGAAGAACACGAGUGAGAGUAACUGUUCAUUCGAUGACGGUAUCUAACCAGCAAGUCACGGCUAACUACGUGCCGAG
Molecule: ribosomal RNA, 165 nt
Filed under: uncultured bacterium
Lineage: Bacteria
Description: partial 16S rRNA
Rfam family: Bacterial small subunit ribosomal RNA
Source: RNAcentral